GACUUAAGCAUAUCAAUAAGCGGAGGAAAAGAAACCAACAGGGAUUGCCUCAGUAACGGCGAGUGAAGCGGCAACAGCUCAAAUUUGAAAUCUGGCCCUAGCGGUCCGAAUUGUAAUUUGUAGAGGAUGCUUUUGGUGCGGUGCCUUCCGAGUUCCCUGGAACGGGACGCCAGAGAGGGUGAGAGCCCCGUACGGUUGGACACCUACCCUAUAUAUAGCUCCUUCGACGAGUCGAGUAGUUUGGGAAUGCUGCUCUAAAUGGGAGGUAAAUUUCUUCUAAAGCUAAAUACCGGCCAGAGACCGAUAGCGCACAAGUAGAGUGAUCGAAAGAUGAAAAGCACUUUGAAAAGAGGGUUAAAUAGCACGUGAAAUUGUUGAAAGGGAAGCGUUUGCGACCAGACCUUCUCUAGGCGGAUCAUCCGGUGUUCUCACCGGUGCACUUCGCCUGGUUUAGGCCAGCAUCGGUUUUCGUAGGGGGAUAAAGGCUUGGGGAACGUAUCUCUCUCGGGAGUGUUAUAGCCCCUCGCGUAAUACCCUUACGGGGACCGAGGACCGCGCUCUGCAAGGAUGCUGGCGUAAUGGUCGUCAACGACCCGUCUUGAAACACGGACCAAGGAGUCGAACAUUUGUGCGAGUGUUUGGGUAUUAAACCCUCACGCGUAAUGAAAGUGAACGGAGGUGAGAGCCCUUAGGGGUGCAUCAUCGACCGAUCCUGAUGUCUUCGGAUGGAUUUGAGUAAGAGCAUAACUGUUCGGACCCGAAAGAUGGUGAACUAUGCGUGGAUAGGGUGAAGCCAGAGGAAACUCUGGUGGAGGCUCGCAGCGGUUCUGACGUGCAAAUCGAUCGUCAAAUCUGCGCAUGGGGGCGAAAGACUUAUCGAACCAUCUAGUAGCUGGUUACCGCCGAAGUUUCCCUCAGGAUAGCAGUGUUGUUUUCAGUUUUAUGAGGUAAAGCGAAUGAUUAGGGACUCGGGGGCGCUUUAUUGCCUUCAUCCAUUCUCAAACUUUAAAUAUGUAAGAAGCCCUUGUUACUUAAUUGAACGUGGGCAUUCGAAUGUAUCAACACUAGUGGGCCAUUUUUGGUA
This 1084-nucleotide ribosomal RNA is filed under the name Thuemenella cubispora. Its description in RNAcentral is "eukaryotic LSU rRNA". It matches the Rfam family "Eukaryotic large subunit ribosomal RNA", at positions 31 to 1142 of the family's 3401-position model. The record is from RNAcentral. Lineage: Eukaryota; Fungi; Ascomycota; Sordariomycetes; Xylariales; Xylariaceae.